CAAUCUGCCCUUGACUGUGGGAUAAGCGUUGGAAACGACGUCUAAUACCGGAUACGACCUUUGGAGGCAUCUCUGGGGGUGGAAAGAAUUUUGGUCAAGGAUGAGCUCGCGGCCUAUCAGCUAGUUGGUGAGGUAAUGGCUCACCAAGGCGACGACGGGUAGCCGGCCUGAGAGGGUGACCGGCCACACUGGGACUGAGACACGGCCCAGACUCCUACGGGAGGCAGCAGUGGGGAAUAUUGCACAAUGGGCGAAAGCCUGAUGCAGCAACGCCGCGUGAGGGACGACGGCCUUCGGGUUGUAAACCUCUUUUAGUAGGGAAGAAGCGAUGUGCUUGCCACAAAGUGACGGUACCUGCAGAAAAAGCACCGGCUAACUACGUGCCAGCAGCCGCGGUAAUACGUAGGGUGCAAGCGUUGUCCGGAAUUAUUGGGCGUAAAGAGCUCGUAGGCGGUUUGUCGCGUCUGCUGUGAAAACCCGAGGCUCAACCUCGGGCCUGCAGUGGGUACGGGCAGACUAGAGUGCGGUAGGGGAGAUUGGAAUUCCUGGUGUAGCGGUGGAAUGCGCAGAUAUCAGGAGGAACACCAAUGGCGAAGGCAGAUCUCUGGGCCGUAACUGACGCUGAGGAGCGAAAGCAUGGGGAGCGAACAGGAUUAGAUACCCUGGUAGUCCAUGCCGUAAACGUUGGGAACUAGAUGUGGGGACCAUUCCACGGUCUCCGUGUCGCAGCUAACGCAUUAAGUUCCCCGCCUGGGGAGUACGGCCGCAAGGCUAAACUCAAAGGAAUUGACGGGGGCCCGCACAAGCGGCGGAGCAUGCGGAUUAAUUCAUGCAACGCGAAGAACCUUACCAAGGCUUGACAUAUAGAAGAAACGUCUGGAAACAG
RNAcentral lists this ribosomal RNA (886 nucleotides) under actinobacterium ALI-LH29. Its description in RNAcentral is "bacterial SSU rRNA". It matches the Rfam family "Bacterial small subunit ribosomal RNA", at positions 122 to 1009 of the family's 1533-position model. The record is from RNAcentral. Lineage: Bacteria; Bacillati; Actinomycetota; Actinomycetes.